Molecule: long non-coding RNA, 1175 nt
Organism: Brienomyrus brachyistius
Lineage: Eukaryota; Metazoa; Chordata; Actinopteri; Osteoglossiformes; Mormyridae
Exons: 4
Source: RefSeq, a predicted model, not a curated record
GUUUGCGUUUCAGCACGUUGGAAGUGGAGAAGUGGUGAACGAUUAUUGCAUUGACGGAACAGAACUAUAAUCUAGUGGGAAUAUAAAAUAAAUGUGUCUGGGCAAAUUGGUAUUGCCGGAUAACCCGAACAGAUUUUCAAACAGAUCCAAAUGCAUGUGGACCUCAGCGCACUCCUGAGCACUACAAAUCUGCAGUAGACAUUUUACAGUCUGAGGAACAACAAAACGUUGAAGAAAUGGGUGAUUCAGAGCUAAACACUUCAAACAUCAGCAAUGCCAUUGAUGCAGUACUACCUGAACUCCCAAUUGCAACUAAAAAAUCUCUUGAGGACACUUUAAAGUCACUUGGAGUGGAGUCCUCAGAAGAUUUCAGAUUUCUUCAGGAAUCAGAUCUGACAGCUGUACUGAAGCCCAUUCAAGCCAGGAAAUUUAUGUCUGUUCUAAAGGAGACCAGUGUUUGUUCAUCAUAAAUCCUGAAAAGGGCACAAAGGUAGUGGAAAAGAAGAACAAAAAACGACUCCCUGUGAACCUAAGAGUCUUCACCUUAAUCUCUGACCUUUCUGAUUAUGAGUGGCGAGAGACAUUGUAAAUGGCCUGCAAAGGUGCCCAGCAACUUUUGUUCCUUGUUCUGCCUUAGUAGUUAUUAUUGUAAAUGUUCGACUUAGGUAAAGUUUAUCUUCUCUAGCUCAGUUUAAAGUGGCAGUUGGAUAGUGGAAUCUAAAUUUUAAAUGCAUAGUCUUGACCGACUGAUUCUUGUCUGAUUUUAAGACUAAUCUUAAGCCAUUGUAUACUUAUGAUAAAACACAAGAAAAAAACACUAAUGUUAUUUUAAAUGCCUGCCAAUCUUUAUUAAAAAUACUUGGGACCACACUGAUGUGUAAGUCUUUAUUAGAUUUUGAUGGGUUUUGAUUAUUUGAUUUAGGUUUGUAUACAAGUAUUCUUAAUAGUUUCUUAAAGGUAAAAUCUGAAUGUUUAGCAGUGUAACUUCUAUCUCUUCUUGCUCCCAGCUAAUGUGAUAAAAUGGUGCUUUCACGGAAUUGCUGAAUGAAUUCACUCAUGUUCAGUUGAUUUAUAUUAAAAAUAAUUCAACAGCAUUUACAUAUUUAAUGUUUUUUCCUUAGUUUAAAUAGUUUUCUGUCUGCUUUGUGAAAUAACUAUAGGUUUUAACCGAAUUU